GAUGAACGCUGGCGGCGUGCCUAAUACAUGCAAGUCGAGCGAACAGACGAGGAGCUUGCUCCUUUGACGUUAGCGGCGGACGGGUGAGUAACACGUAGGUAACCUACCUAUAAGACUGGGAUAACUUCGGGAAACCGGAGCUAAUACCGGAUAAUAUUUCGAACCGCAUGGUUCGAUAGUGAAAGAUGGCUUUGCUAUCACUUAUAGAUGGACCUGCGCCGUAUUAGCUAGUUGGUACGGUAACGGCUUACCAAGGCAACGAUACGUAGCCGACCUGAGAGGGUGAUCGGCCACACUGGAACGGGGACACGGUCCAGACUCCUACGGGAGGCAGCAGUAGGGAAUCUUCCGCAAUGGGCGAAAGCCUGACGGAGCAACGCCGCGUGAGUGAUGAAGGUCUUCGGAUCGUAAAACUCUGUUAUUAGGGAAGAACAAACGUGUAAGUAACUGUGCACGUCUUGACGGUACCUAAUCAGAAAGCCACGGCUAACUACGUA
This 497-nucleotide ribosomal RNA is filed under the name uncultured bacterium. Its description in RNAcentral is "partial 16S ribosomal RNA". It matches the Rfam family "Bacterial small subunit ribosomal RNA", at positions 28 to 507 of the family's 1533-position model. The record is from RNAcentral.